AUGAAUCAUCCAACUCUUCAUUCCAGGCAAGAAGGACCUGGAGUACUUCUGCGUGGUGACCCAUCUUUAAAGGAACUACCUAACCACGGCGUGAUUAAGGUCUCCUCCAGCUCUGAAAUCCAGCUUUAUGGAACAAGAGAGGAACAACUGAGUCCAGCUGGAGUGUGGAAGCCGAACCAAAUUCAGACCCCCUCCCCCAAGGAUCUGGUUAGGAAGCAGCCCUGUCAGGCCCCUGUCCUGCUGGCUCCGUGGUCACCACUUCCUCCUGUGUCACGGGACAGAAGAUGCCACUGCCACAGCCACUGCUGGAAAAGUGACUUCUAACUGCCCACAGCUUGUAUUGAGGUAGAAACUGCUUAGUAGUGUUAAGAUAGCAGAGCAAUGGAGAAAGACCACUGCCCUGGCAGAAAACAUUUCGUUGUAAAUUGCUUCUCCAACCUUCAAGGCUGGUGUAUAUUGAACAGAGCGGGGGUUUCCAGCAUCCUUCCUGGGACAACACCAAGAGGUUAACAGCUGAGGAUCAAAAGCAGUUACCUUAGGUAGCAAUGUCUGCACACCUUGGAAUUCCCUGCAGGAACAAAGGCCGCCCCUCUCCCCUAUAUUUGGGGUCUCACCAUGGGCUGGCUGAGCCCAGGGGAAGUGGCUCUUGGGCCGAAGUGGGAAGCAGGGGCAAACCUCCAUCGCCCAGACCCUCCAGCCGACUGCAGCAAAGCAAAGGAGGUGGAAGGGAAUCUACCAACUCUUCGUAGCAAUUAUCCCUAAGCAUGUGACCAAGGACAUUUGUGCUUCCCUUUCUCACAAUUUUUAAGCCUCUGUAAUAAACACAUCUGAACUCUGCAAUUUUUUACAUGUG
This 853-nucleotide long non-coding RNA is filed under the name Chinchilla lanigera (long-tailed chinchilla). Its description in RNAcentral is "lncRNA (ENSCLAG00000023249.1)". Lineage: Eukaryota; Metazoa; Chordata; Mammalia; Rodentia; Chinchillidae. The record is from RNAcentral.